AGUACGGCCGCAAGGCUGAAACUUAAAGGAAUUGGCGGGGGAGCACUACAACGGGUGGAGCCUGCGGUUUAAUUGGACUCAACGCCGGAAAACUCACCGGGGGCGACAGCAAUAUGUAGGUCAGGUUAAAGGUCUUACCUGAAUCGCUGAGAGGAGGUGCAUGGCCGUCGUCAGUUCGUACUGUGAAGCAUCCUGUUAAGUCGGGCAACGAGCAAGACCCGUGCCCACUGUUACCAGCAUAUCCUUUAUGGAUGAUGGGGACUCUGUGGGGACCGCUGCUGCUAAAGCAGAGGAAGGUGCGGGCUACGGUAGGUCAGUAUGCCCCGAAUCUCCCGGGCUACACGCGGGCUACAACGGUUGGGACAAUGGGUAUCUACUCCGAAAGGAGUUGGCAAUCUCUUAAACCCAAUCGUAGUUCGAAUUGAGGGCUGUAACUCGCCCUCAUGAAGCUGGAAUCCGUAGUAAUCGCGUUUCAACAUAGCGCGGUGAAUCUGUCCCUGCUCCUUGCACACACCGCCCGUCAAACCAUCCGAGUGAGGUAUGGGUGAGGGCACGAACUUAGUGUCGUGCUCGAACCUAAAUUUCGCAAGGAGGGUUAAGUCGUAACAAGGUAGCCGUAGGGGAAUCUGCGGCUGGAUCACCUCCU
This 646-nucleotide ribosomal RNA is filed under the name uncultured archaeon. Its description in RNAcentral is "bacterial SSU rRNA". It matches the Rfam family "Archaeal small subunit ribosomal RNA", at positions 834 to 1478 of the family's 1478-position model. The record is from RNAcentral.